This is a non-coding RNA of Rattus norvegicus (Norway rat), 1613 nucleotides long. The record is from RefSeq and is a predicted model, not a curated record. Lineage: Eukaryota; Metazoa; Chordata; Mammalia; Rodentia; Muridae.
GUGACCUCAUGGAGUCCUGCACAUCUCCCCGGGGUUGGUGAGCUGCUAUGUGCCUAUUCUCCAAUGAUGCAUAGAGAGGAGGGAAACAAUGGGCAGGCAUCGGACAUGAGGUCUGACUGCCAGGAAACACAAAGCAGACAGGACAAAAGACACAGCAGUGACAGCACCCACCCACAGCAUCCUAAAACUGAUGCCUCUUACUCCUGCUCACCCCACCUACUGUGUUUUGAAUCCAAAAUGUCCCCAAGUCCAUGAUCUCAAUGUUUGACCUCAGUGGGUGACACUAUUUUGAACCCUUAGGAAAUGAGGCCUAGCUGGCUGAGGUAGAGCAAUAGGGUAGGCCUUUGAUGGUUCUAGCUCAGCCUCUGAGGCCAGCAUUCUCUGCUUCAAACUACUGCCACCACAAAUGGAGUCUUGCCACCAUGCCUUCACAGGUGAGACUGAAACCGGAGUGAACCGGAAUUAACUGGAAUGAACCAGAAUGAACUGGAAUGAACCGGAAUGAACAGGAACGAAGACGCUAACAGUGACAUAAUUAUGAUGAGCACACCUCUUUUUGUGGCAGAUGCAAGUUCCCAGAGAGCAGCUACGAAUGCCUCCAAGAGAGCAGCUACAGCCAGAGGUGGGGCGAACACGGAGUUGACUGUGGAUGCUUUAAAGCAAUUCUUCAAUUUUUAGUCCAGAAGACUACAGAGUCCUUCAAACAUUAGAGAUAAAAGGCCCUUCUAGAACCAUCCAGCAGAGCAACCACAUUCUGAAGACAAGGAUUUGGACUCCCAGGAAAAAACAUCUACUGCCCAUAGUUACCAAGUUAGGAUUAGAGAUGAAACUCCUUGGUGUUCUAAUCCCCAGUCUGCUUUCCUCCAUCGCUAAGUGUCUUUUUUUUUUUUUUUUUUUGGUUCUUUUUUUCGGAGCUGGGGACCGAACCCAGGGCCUUGCGCUUCCUAGGUAAGCGCUCUACCACUGAGCUAAAUCCCCAGCCCCGCUAAGUGUCUUUUAUAUACUGGUAUGUAAUGGUUAGUGGGGGCAGUUGGCACAAGUCACCACCCUAAAGAGCUAUCAUUUCUUUGCAUCGGGUACAUUAAAAAUCCCCUCUAUUAUUUUGAAAUUAACUGCUGUCAACCAUGGUUAAUCUACUGUUCUAUAGAACAUUGUAAGUUAUUCCUCCCACCCUGUUAAGACCCUUGGCAAAAUGUUUUACUUUGCCUUCUUGUUCAUUUUCCCUGUGCUUUCUCCAGGUGACAUCAGGUCACAAAGAAAAAUGAAAAGAUGCCAAGGUGUUUGUGGAGGUGAGAUGUGGCAAAGGGCCACCAAUUGUGUGUGCACCCUCCUGCGUGAGGAUUAAAGUCACCCAAAUGCCAUGGAGAGGAGAUCCCAAAUAUUCAUGUGUUAUUAAAAUGUUGAGCAUUAACUUGUAAGUGCGAACUUCUGCAUCUUUCUAUAUAUACUAAAACAUAUACAUUUUAAAACAUAUACAUAUACAUAUAUGUAUACCCUAAGACAGAGAAAUUAACAGAUAACAUCCCAAAGCUAACUUUAGCAUGUUGAUUUGGUAUAAAAUGACCCAAAGAGACAUUUUAUGGGCUUAACAGAAUAAAGUUUGUCUUCCUUGG